GAUGAAUGCUGGCGGCGUGCCUAAUACAUGCAAGUCGAGCGGUAAGGCCCUUCGGGGUACACGAGCGGCGGACGGCUGAGUAACGCGUGGGAACAUGCCCCAAAGUGAGGGAUAACGCACCGAAAGGUGUGCUAAUACCGCAUAUGGUCUUCGGACUAAAGGAUUUAUCCGCUUUGGGAGUGGCCCGCGUACGAUUAGAUUGUUGGUGAGGUAACGGCUCACCAAGUCGACGAUCGUUAACUGGUCUGAGAGGAUGAUCAGUCAGACUGGAACUGAGACACGGUCCAGACUCCUACGGGAGGCAGCAGUAAGGAAUCUUCCACAAUGGGCGAAAGCCUGAUGGAGCAACGCCGCGUGCAGGAUGAAGGCCCUCGGGUCGUAAACUGCUUUAUGAGUGAAGAAUAUGACGGUAACUCAUGAAUAAGCACCGGCUAACUACGUGCCAGCAGCCGCGGUAAU
RNAcentral lists this ribosomal RNA (459 nucleotides) under uncultured bacterium. Its description in RNAcentral is "bacterial SSU rRNA". It matches the Rfam family "Bacterial small subunit ribosomal RNA", at positions 28 to 524 of the family's 1533-position model. The record is from RNAcentral.